Molecule: transfer RNA, 67 nt
Filed under: Quadrula quadrula (mapleleaf mussel)
Lineage: Eukaryota; Metazoa; Mollusca; Bivalvia; Unionida; Unionidae
Description: tRNA-Arg
Source: RNAcentral
AAGCAGGAAACCAUAAGGUAUUAUGGUUUCGGCCCAUAAAUUGGUAUUCAUCACAUACCCCUGCUUU